RNAcentral lists this long non-coding RNA (1310 nucleotides) under Homo sapiens (human). Its description in RNAcentral is "HSALNT0040667". Lineage: Eukaryota; Metazoa; Chordata; Mammalia; Primates; Hominidae. The record is from RNAcentral.
CUGCUGUAUUGUUUUACCAUAUUUUGUUGUUUUACAUGGUGUUGAACUGUAUUUUCCUUUUCAGCUUAUUUUUAAUUUAAAAAAUGUUUAUUCUUUUAUAUAGAUUUUAUUCUAUUCCAUUGUGCAAUUUUAGGUUCAUAGCAAAAUUGGGCAGAAAGUACAGUGAGAUCCCUGUAUCCCCUUACCCUCAACUUAUUUUUUUUCUUUCUUUUUCUUUUUGAGACAGGGACUCAUUCUGCUGCCCAGGCUAGAAUGCAGUGGUGUAAUCAUGGCUCAUUGCAACCUCCACCUCCUGGGCUCGAGUGAUCCUCCCAUCUGAACCUCCCCAACUAGCUGGAACCACUGGUGCGCACUACCACAUCCGGCUAAUUUUUGCAUUUUUUGUAGAGACAGGUUUUCACCACGUUGCCCAGGCUAAUCUCAAACUCCUGAACUCAAGCGAUCUGCCCACCUCGGCCACCCAAAGUGCCAGGAUUACAGCCCCAAGGACAAAGAGUCUGUACCAUGGAAAGGUGGCCUUGCAGUUUUCUAUCAAACUUCCCAGGAGCAGAAAUUUGCAACCUCCUCUUUGCCGCAACACACCAAAAGGAGCAGAAUCAUUGACUCUUAGUAGUUCUCAGCUGUGAUGCAACAAAGCAUUUCAAAACCUCUAGCUGAAUGCUAAGACAAAGGCUUCUCAUUGUGUGAAAGCUGAAGGAUCUCUCCCUGCAUUCCCUUCAUGGGCAUCUCUAGGCUACUUGGCCUCAUGGAUGCUUCAGGCUCUCCAGUGGCUUCAGAGAUCCCUAGUUUCCAGAGGAUGCAACAAUAAGGCACCAUCUUGGAAGCAGAAAGCAGCCCUCACCAGACACCAAAUCUGCCAGCACCUUGAUCUUGGAUUUCCCAGACUCCAGAACUGUGAGAAAUAAAUUUUUAUUUUUUAUCAAUGAGCCAGUCUAAGGUAUUUUGUUAUAGCAACGCAAACGGACCAAGAUAAUUACCUUUUUUUACUAGAAUAUUUGUUACCUGAGCAUGAAGUUUUAUCUUUCUUUACUGCCUUUUACAUAGGAGGUAAUCAAAUGUGUCCUGAAUUCAGGUUAUUAAAUUAUAUAAUGAAUUAGAUUAUAUUGCCACUGUGUUGUCUCUUUUCACCAAAAUCUACUAAUAAAUAGUUAUGUUAAGAAAUUAAAUAUAUUGCCAGGUGCGGUGGCUCACGCUGUAAUCCCAGCACUUUGGGAAGCUGAGGCGGGCGGAUCACAAGGUCAGAAGUUCAAGACCAGCCUGGCCAAGAGACCAGCCUGGUCAAUAUGGUGAAACCCUAUCUCUACUAAAAA